UACGGAGGGUGCAAGCGUUAUCCGGAUUCACUGGGUUUAAAGGGUGCGUAGGUGGGCUGGUAAGUCAGUGGUGAAAUCUCCAGACUUAACUUGGAAACUGCCAUUGAUACUAUUAGUCUUGAAUACCGUGGAGGUCAGCGGAAUAUGUCAUGUAGCGGUGAAAUGCUUAGAUAUGACAUAGAACACCAAUUGCGAAGGCAGCUGGCUACACGAAUAUUGACACUGAUGCACGAAAGCGUGGGGAUCAAACAGG
This 253-nucleotide ribosomal RNA is filed under the name uncultured bacterium. RNAcentral describes it as "partial 16S ribosomal RNA". It matches the Rfam family "Bacterial small subunit ribosomal RNA", at positions 524 to 776 of the family's 1533-position model. The record is from RNAcentral.